This 254-nucleotide ribosomal RNA is filed under the name uncultured bacterium. Its description in RNAcentral is "partial 16S ribosomal RNA". It matches the Rfam family "Bacterial small subunit ribosomal RNA", at positions 524 to 776 of the family's 1533-position model. The record is from RNAcentral.
CACGUAGGGACCAAGCGUUGUCCGGAUUUAUUGGGCGUAAAGCGCUCGUAGGCGGUUUGGUAAGUCGGGUGUGAAACCUCCAGGCUCAACCUGGUGACGCCACCCGAUACUGCUAUGACUUGAGUUCGGUAGGGGAGCGGGGAAUUCCUGGUGUAGCGGUGAAAUGCGCAGAUAUCAGGAGGAACACCGGUGGCGAAGGCGGGUCUCUGGGCCGAUACUGACACUGAGAAGCGAAAGCGUGGGGAGCGAACAGG